This 460-nucleotide ribosomal RNA is filed under the name uncultured bacterium. RNAcentral's name for it is "partial 16S ribosomal RNA". It matches the Rfam family "Bacterial small subunit ribosomal RNA", at positions 338 to 795 of the family's 1533-position model. The record is from RNAcentral.
CCUACGGGUGGCAGCAGUGAGGAAUAUUGGUCAAUGGACGAGAGCCUGAACCAGCCAAGUAGCGUGAAGGAUGACUGCCCUAUGGGUUGUAAACUUCUUUUAUAUGGGAAUAAUAUGUUCCACGUGUGGGAUUUUGUAUGUACCAUAUGAAUAAGGAUCGGCUAACUCCGUGCCAGCAGCCGCGGUAAUACCGAGGAUUCGAGCGUUAUCCGGAUUUAUGGGGUUUAAAGGGAGCGUAGGUGGAAUGUUAAGUCAGUCGUGAAAGUUUGCGGCUCAACCGUAAAAGUGCAGUUGAAACUGGCAGUCUUGAGUACAGUAGAGGUAGGCGGAAUGCGUGGUGUAGCGGUGAAAUGCAUAGAUAUCACGAAGAACUCCGAUUGCGAAGGCAGCUCACUGGACUGCAACUGACACUGAAGCUCGAAAGUAUGGGUAUCAAACAGGAUUAGAUACCCCAGUAGUC